Molecule: ribosomal RNA, 109 nt
Filed under: Castor canadensis (American beaver)
Lineage: Eukaryota; Metazoa; Chordata; Mammalia; Rodentia; Castoridae
Source: RNAcentral
GUCUAUGGCCAUACCACCCUGAACGCACCCGAUCUUGUCUGAUCUUGAAAGCUAAGCAGAGUCGGGCCUGCUUAGUACUUGGAUGGAAGACAGAUCUUCAGGAGAGACU